This is a long non-coding RNA of Hippocampus zosterae (dwarf seahorse), 251 nucleotides long. RefSeq lists it as uncharacterized. The record is from RefSeq and is a predicted model, not a curated record. The transcript has 3 exons. Lineage: Eukaryota; Metazoa; Chordata; Actinopteri; Syngnathiformes; Syngnathidae.
UUACAUCAGACCGGUCUUUGUAUUCCGCUCGGACCAAGACUCCCGGAAGCGAACUGUUGAGGAGAUCAAGAGGAGAGCGCGCUCUGGAGGGGAGUGGCCUCAGAUGAUGAUAUUUCCAGAGGGGACGUGCACCAACAGGUCGAGCAUCAUCUUGUUCAAGGCGGGGGCCUUCAUCCCAGGACUCCCAGUGCAACCGGUGAGUCUUGCGUUACCAAAACAAACUGGUAAACAUCUUUAACAGGAACUUUUGG